UACAGAGGGGGCAAGCGUUGUUCGGAAUUACUGGGCGUAAAGGGCGCGUAGGCGGCCUGUUAAGUCGAACGUGAAAUCCCCGGGCUCAACCCGGGAACUGCGUCCGAUACUGGCAGGCUUGAAUUCGGGAGAGGGAUGUGGAAUUCCAGGUGUAGCGGUGAAAUGCGUAGAUAUCUGGAGGAACACCGGUGGCGAAGGCGGCAUCCUGGACCGAUAUUGACGCUGAUGCGCGAAAGCCAGGGGGGCAAACGGG
RNAcentral lists this ribosomal RNA (253 nucleotides) under uncultured bacterium. Its description in RNAcentral is "partial 16S ribosomal RNA". It matches the Rfam family "Bacterial small subunit ribosomal RNA", at positions 524 to 776 of the family's 1533-position model. The record is from RNAcentral.